Molecule: non-coding RNA, 75 nt
Organism: Myotis lucifugus (little brown bat)
Lineage: Eukaryota; Metazoa; Chordata; Mammalia; Chiroptera; Vespertilionidae
Source: Rfam
GGCAGUUCUCAGGUGAUGCACCCCAGAAUUGGGCUCCCUACUCUCUGGUACCCGAUGUGUCACCUGAGAACCGCA